Molecule: long non-coding RNA, 9930 nt
Filed under: Podarcis lilfordi (Lilford's wall lizard)
Lineage: Eukaryota; Metazoa; Chordata; Lepidosauria; Squamata; Lacertidae
Source: RNAcentral
CUACAAUACUGUCUUCGUUAUUUUAUAGUACAGAACACUGAUUAUUGCUUUCAUUUUAUGGAUCAAUGGUCUUGUUAGAUAGUAAAAUUCAUGUUAAACUGCUGCUUUAGGGGUUGUUUUUAAAAGUCUGGAACGGAUUAAUCUGUUUUCCCUUGCUUUCUAUGGGAAAGUGCACCUUGGUUUUGGAACACUUUGGUUUUGAACAGACUUCCAGAACCGAUUAAGUUUGAGAACCAAGGUAUCACUGUAUACACUAUGUGAAGAAGUACUUUCUUAUAAAUGUAACAAAAUGAAUGACAGGGCUCACUGAGCCUCAUCCGGUUGGACCACAGAAGUUUGUCAAAGUGGCAAUGGAGGGAAUCAAAUGAACCCAUAAUCUGGAGGAAGCCCUUCCCCCUCACCCAAGCCAACCAUCCCAUCUGGUGGGACACAGAGAAGGGCCUCUCCACCAGAUUUUAGGGAGCAGCAGGUUGCCACAGGAAGUUAAAUAUUUAAUCUUCAGUUUUAUACAGAUAUAUUUUUCUCCCGCCAGUUACAUAUUGAUACAAUAUAUUCAGAGCAGAUGGGGAGGAAGUGAUCUGUCAAUGUAAGCUUCAGCAUGUGAUUGUCCAAAGGAAAGCUUUCAAAAAGUUGUUCUUAGAAUUCCUAAUUGGAUGGGGUAUAUUGAUUGACAGUAGCUCAUAGAGGUGAAAUGAAGGAGACACCUCAAAAUGAGAUAUAUCUAUAUGGAAAGCGGGAUUCAAUCUGCCCUAAUAAGCAUUGAAUUAUGCACUGGGCAUUGAAUUUAUUUAACUUUUUCAGAGCCUAAUUUGGACAUACAGUUCAGUAGAGUAACUUAUGAAUUCAGUAUGGUUUAUUUCAUCAAUAUUAAAAGAAAAGGGAGGAAAGGCAAAUUAAGACAGUGCUGUCCCACUAAUAUGUGAGGGUGAUUUAUUUAUUUUUUUAAUGUCACAAAUGAUCUCUAGCAUAUGGGAAAAGCACUGCUUAUAUUUCUUACAGAAAAAUGAGCACGGGUCCAGGAUCAAUUUUCAAAUUUAAUUUAGAAAACAAUUACGACAGAAACAUAUGUUAACAUUAUCCAGACUUUUGCUAAGCCACGGGUAUCUGCACAACACCUUUCCCUCUCCCAAAGUAAUAAAGAUCUGCCACUCUCUUCUAUGUAACAGCUAGCUUGUGCUUCCUUUCCCCCACGCUUUCAGGGAUUAUCUGCAUCUGGGCUGAGAAGAUAACUCAUUUCCCCUUCAGAAUGUACAUCGCUCCACUGGGGAAAUUUAUGUAUCCCUAGCUUAGAUGUGGAGAAGAGUAGCACCAGUUGCUUCUCCAUAUCUGAUGCAGCCACAUCUUGUUCCUGUUUCUGCAUGUCAUGUGUUGAACCCAACAUACGUCAACUGUACUGAGUUACCUUGUUCCCACAAGUGGCAGUCACUGAAGGAGAGAGAGCAGAGAUGAGAAACUCACAAUGAGAUAGCAUGUCAUACGUUAACUCAGUGUUACAGAAGGAGGAGGCAUGAAGCUGCCCAGCCCUUAGUACCAGCACCAUUUGAGCCUUACUACAGACACUCAAACUCUAUUCCACCGUUUUGGCAUUUCACUUCCUGAAGAUGAUGAAACGGUAGCUUGGCAAACCCUUCUGGCAGUCAGUUUCCCCCACAGAUCUUAUUGCAAAGUUCAUGUAGGAAGGUCCUUCCACCUUCAAUUAUGCCAGCUCUUUCUUUUUAUAUUAGACUAUUCAGUUGAGUGCCUUUUUCAGUAUUUUGGUAUCCUAGAUCUCAUCUCAAUGCUUCCAUUAAGUAUCUGUACCAGGGUGGCCUAAUUAUCUUCAUUGGACAAAAUAUAAAGCUAUGUAAAAUACCCUUUCAGUCUUUUUAAUUUGCUUCUCCUCCUAUUUUCAAUGAUUGUUUCCCCCCCAAUCAUAGAUCUUCUUGGCUGGAGAGGUCUGGUUAGAUCUCUGAACCUCAUGGCAAUUCCUUCUUCCUUAGAUGCUUUGUCAUUGCUGGGUGUGCAAUUUAGCAUUCAACUACACAUGGGCAGUGGGAAGGGAAAUUGUCAAAGUUAAAUGGACAUUUUUCCCCAAACCCUUCUUAUUACUCCUGUUCCCAGGUGUACUUCUUCAUUAUAAGACCAGUUGGAGCAAUGGCAAGUUUUCAGUUCUUUUACAUUCACAUCAUUACUGAAACUAUUUUCAUAUUUGUUUCUCUACCUAAAUCCUUAUGCUUUCUUUGCAGCCUCAUUGUAUUCAUUUCUGAUAAUGUUUCACCAUCCUUUGACAUCACACUUCUCUAAAUGGUUGCUUAGAAUCUGGUUGAACACUUGCAGGGUUUCCCAGUCUUUCAUUGGGUUCUGAAUCUGAUUACAUUUCCCCUCCUUUUCCUGCCACUUUUACAUCUUUCGUUUUUCUCCAAUGAGGCCAGUGUCAUCUGUUGAUCUCAUCCAAACACUGCCACAAUGAAAUCUGUAUGAUGCUGCAAUUGAUUCCUCGUCUUAUUAAUAAAAAGAAAGUUAAUCACAUUUCUGGCUCUGCACUGUGGGAAAAUCCAGGAAAUUGUCUCCAUGCAUUUGUUUGCAUAAAAAUGUAUUUGCAACAACUAAAUUAAUUUUUGCACCAAAAAGUGAGGAGCUUUUAAUCUUUCUCACUUUCUUGCUAAAAAAGCAUCCCAAAAUACAUGCAGAGCGAUACCGUACAUUAAGAAACCUUUGUUAAAAUGAGAAUUAGUUUGAUAGUUUAUUCAAAACUUGAAGGCAGUAAGUUCUUACAUAUACCUGAAAUCAAAGCUCCAGCAAUCUUGUUUAGCAAUGAAAUUCUGAAAUGAAGUAGGUGGAAAAGCUUUAAAUGAGGUUAGCACCAGACUGAAGAAACAAUACACAGUUGGGAAAGAACUCUAGUUAAAGAUAUGCUAUAGUCACAUAUGGCUCAUAGACCUACGGAAUAUAAUUAUAAAGAGAAUCUUGCCUCUGUCCUUCAGGCAGGACAAGAACAAAUAUCAGAGUUUAUUAGGUUUAAAGUCUAGGAUUUGGACAAAGUAGAGGGAUAUUUGCCCAAAAUCACAAGGAUAUUUGCCCAAAAUCCUCUGGGGCAAUGCUGCUCCUGACUAUAAGUCUGGGGAUUUAAGAGAAUUGUAAAGGAUAGUUAUAAACACUGCAACUGUCUUAGGUAACUGUUCUAAUCUCAAGAAACAAUAAAUGUUGAGGUAGAAGGAGAUUUGAAAGAAUCUCAUUACAAAUCCAGACCUGGUACAUCCAAUAUUAGAAUCCCUUCAUUAUAUUAUCCAGCUUAUUUAGUUGCCAUAAAUGGCAAGAAGAAAUACAGGAAUAUUUAACAAUAAAUUAGCAGCAUUUCCUUUUUUAAAAAAGCAUGACUACUUGAGCUCAGUGCAAUAUUUAAUAAAACUACUGCAACACUGAAGCUUCAAUAUGCUAUAAAAUAUACUUUAGACAAAAACAUAUUAAAAUAAACAAUAUGCCUGCAGUGAUAAAUACUUGGGGAAUUUCAUAAGUGCCAGUAUAUGGGCAUUUCUAUCUAAUCUAGUCUAGUCUAAGCAGAUAUAUAUAAUAUUUGAUGUCUUUCUUUAUAUAAACCUCUGUUGAUUAAUUCUUUCACUUAUCUCAUGCAAUUUCCUAGCCAUACUAUUUCAAACUAUUUUACUGUUAUUGGUUUUGUGACCUGGAUGUGGAUUUUUAAUUUUUGUUGCUCCUUUCCAAGUAUGUCAUCAAACUGCAAUGUUUGUUGCCUGAUAUUAUGCUGGGUAAAAUAUCCAUCAUUUUAGGAACCAAGAUCUUUCAGCCUCUUCUCUUUCCAUUUGCUUGGAAGACUUGUGAUUAUGUUCAGGGAAAAUACAAAGAAAGUGGUUCAAUACAGCAUUCCUCUGUCAGUUUCAUUACUCCAAUGUCUUGAUGGUUAUUAGAAGAAUGGCACAAUCCUAACACAGGAUUUGCUGGGAUAAGCAGUUUAAGAUCUCUGGUCAAGAUGGAGCUCUGGUCUAGAUGGCUGAUUGCAGCUCAGCUGGGAUACAGUCAGUUAAAUUGAAGCUGGUUGAGCUGAGGCCCAUGUAAGACCUCAAAAACGGGUGCGGUGGGGAUAGGACUGGAGUGGAAGCUCUUAGGCUAGAUUCUAAGCCCAUUCAUCUUGGCCACGGGACCUGCCUUUUAGGGCUGGGGAUCUCCCUACCCAUAGUAACAAUGCCUUGUUUGGAUUCAACCUCAGCUUGUUGCCCACAUGGUGUCCUCUUUUCAUCACAGGCUCUCUUGCCUGCCAAUGUUUUUUGCAAGAACUGGUAAGAACUUGGGACAUAGAAUAUCCUCUCCUCUUCUGAAGUACUGAAAUUUUAAGAUCCAGAUUUCCUACCAAGAAAUGUUUAAGAACUACUGUUGUUUAUCCUAGGCUAUAUGUUUUGAUAUGUAUGUGUUGUUGAAAAUAUGUUUGUUAAUAAAAACAGAAAGAUUAUUUUGUGUCUUAAUUAUUGCAUACUAAGUCAGUAUUGGACCCACAACCAUUUUCGUUGUAUGCUUUGUUGAAACAUAUUAAUCAACCACUGGCAAAUUGGAAGCCCAAGGCUUCUUAACAACUGGCACUACUGAUAACACUGACAAAGUAAAAAAUUGUCCAGUAGCACCUUAGAGACCAACUAAGUUUGUUCUGGGUAUAAGCUUUUGUGUGCAUGGACAAUUUUUUAAUUUAGUUCGACUGCGUCAGACCAACACAGCUACCUACCUGAACUGACAAAGUAGAAAUUCAUGACAAGAUGGCACUUUCCAAUAUCAAAUUCCCUGCUGAAUCUAUGUCUGCAUUGCUGGGUGUGCAAUUUAGCAUUUAACUACACAUGGGCAGUGGGAAGGAAAAUUGUCAAAGUUAAAUGGGCAUUUGUACAACCAUUCUGAGACAACAUACCAUUUGGACUUUGCUGGUCUCCAUGAACCCAUUUCUCCAGCUGGCCUAAGUAGGGAUUAGCACAGUCCUCAUACUCUACUGGCAUCCUGCUGGAAGAACUAUUGUUCAACAUGUGCUUCACAGUGACACAUUCUGACAAUUAUUUUUUAAAAUCUGCAUAUGCACAAUACCUUUAAAACACCUUCAAAGUACAGUCUUUCCCUCAAAAAAAUCUGGGAACAGCAAUUUACAGCUCACAGAGCAACAAUUUCUAGCAACCCUUAACAAGCUAAAGUGCCCAGAAUUAUUUGAUGGGGGGAAGGUGCUUUGAGUGUGCAAAUAAUUUCCAGUGUCCCUCUAUGGCAAAGUGGUACAUUAUUCUUUGUACUUUAUGUAUUUCACAACUGAUUUGCAUUCUUCUGUGAUCCUGCUGUGCCUCUGUUGUGUUUCAUUGAUGAAAAGUGGUCUCAGCUGUAUCCUAUUAGAAUGAGCCCCAGCAUCCCACCAGGAAGCUGGAAGAUGCUAGCAAAUGAUUGUUUACUGGAUCUGCUGAAACUGUUCUCCACUGAGUUUCUCCUGUCAUUUAAAAACAAAAAAGAAUUGGAUAAACUCAUAAAGGAUUAUAAUGGCUGGUGGCCAUGAUAUGGAACCUCUAAAUUCAGAGACAAUGUAACGUAAUUGCCAGAGGUUGGUUACAAACAACAAAAGACAACCAUCUGGUAUUAUCCACUGCAGUUUCUUGCUGACAUUGCUAAAGACAGAAUUAACAGAAUUACGGGUUGGGUGGCCUGCUAUGAAGUUGCAUUACAGAGUGUGAACUAAUAUAGCAGUUCUUAGGUUUCACUGUUCUUCAUAUUCCUAAGACUGCCUCUUGAUUUCUCAGUCUAUCCACUCUUAUCUGUACAUAUAUGGAUAUGAUUAUAAUGCCAGCUAGGAUUUCCUCUUGUGCCUACAAACUGACCUUGUCUUCAGGUCCUAGAUGCUCCAUCAUCUCACUGGGAGAGAUCCAUCUUCCGAAAAAGACAGUAACAGCAUAGAGCAUCCUAGCAGCACGUCUGGCAAAGGACUAGAAGCAACUCAGCUGUAAUAUUGCCUUAGCUGUACAGCCUGAGCUGCACACCUGCAAUAUGGAAAUAAUAAAUGUCCCAACUUACCAAGUUGUUGGAAAUAAUGUACUACUGAGACAGUGUAUAAGAGAUGAUUUCAACACUUUGGGAAAAUAACUACGUGAAUACUGAUUCAUACUAUUACUAGAUAAAUGGUAGUCUUUAUGAUGGCUGGGGGGAAAGAGGUAGCGGAGGGAAAGCCCUAUGGACUGCAACAUGCAAUCUCCAUGUGUUCUGCACAUAGAGCAACUUGUAGGCCUCCCCAUAAAGUCCCUGUUAUUACACUGAGCCUCCCACUGUUUAAAGUGAGGGCUGCAUUUUUCCACACUGCAACAUCAUCCCUUAGUGUGGUGUGUUAUUUUUACCAUACAAUCAGCUACAUAGGAGAAAGGAAAGAAGGACACUACUGGAAUUGUCUAGCAGAUUUUGUUCCCUUUCAACUGCCUGUUUGCUUGGCUCCAUAGAAUUAAAUGGGAACCCAGAAAACUGAGCCAGCUCUUAACCUGCUCCUUUAACUACAUAGCCUCAUCAAACUCUGAGUGAGACUGAAUCCUAGCAACUAGUUUUUGUGUAUGUUCACCUCAAGUCAGCUAUAGCAUGAACAACAAGUAUGACUUUGAAUGACAGUUUCUGGGAAUCACAAGUGGGGAGAGUAGUGUUGCGCUCAGGUCUUGCUUCUGGGUUUCCCAGAAGAUGCAGCUGGUUGGCCACUUAGCAUGGGCUCUUAUUAUGCUUUUAUGCAUGUUACAACUAGUAGAUCCUCUUAUCAAAAGGCACAUACAAUAGGAAGUGGAUAAAUGUCAUGACAUGGGUUUAAAUCAGAAUCACAUCUGGAACUACAGCUCAAGCAGAGGCAAGCUUCCAUGCACUUUUGUUAGCGAACCACUCACUAUUAGAAGCAGUUGAUGGUGACGCCUUUUUAUAUUAACCACAUUCCUCUUUCUACCUUUGCAGCUUUAAUCUAACAUUUUUCCUUCAGUGCUUCCAAAAUGGAUAGGAAGCAGUGAAUUUUGAUGAUGCAGUACUCUUGCGAAAGUAAUGAGGUUGGUCUGAGUUAAGCAGUGGUAGAUAUAGCAUGUGACAGAAACUGAAUAGUAGUAUUUAUUAACCCAUCCAUCUUCAAGCUAAUCCAGGGUGAAAAGCCCCUUCAUUACUCCUUGUACUUCAUUGAGAAAAGGCUUGGCUGUAACCCUGCCACACUUGACGCACAGUAAUUUGGCAAGGGCACGACACUAUUAGACUACAUUCUUUGCAGAAUGAGUGCUAAGGAAAAACUUGGCAAGUACUGUCAUUCCCCGGAGCAUGAGACAAGUAUUUCUCCUCUGCUCAUGCCCGAUGUUGCUUGCUCACAGAUUCUGAAAAAGCGUGUUCUCCCUCAUGGAGAGCACAUGUUGCGGUGGGGUCUGCCAAGCCACCCCUCUGUUGCCAGGCAGGGUUUCUAAAGAGGGCCUAGGGCAACGAUUGGAUGGGUGGGUUGCUGGGGUAAAUGUUAUGUUGCAAUUUGGGCGGGAGGGGUCAAAUGUUUUAAAUACUCUGCACCCAGCCUGGAGCUUUCUCUUUGCUGCAUGCACUGGAUCACCCACCCACCCACCCUAAAUUAAGGUUUCUUUUGCGUUGACCUUGCUAUUCUUGUCAUGGGGUCGUCUGCCGUUGGGGCAGGGGCCUGGUAGGAAUUUUGUCCAUUUGGCUGAUUAUUGUGUGCCACUUGUUUUUUUGCCUACUGCGUAGCAAAUCGUCACAACUUGUAAGGUUUGCAGUUAGACAUUGGUCUUGGAAUUGGUUGGAGGAGGGGUUAGGAUAGGCUGGGCCUGCCCCUCCGUGGUUGCUGUGGAAAGGGAAUUCCGUUAAAGGAAUCCAGGGGCUUGCCAUCUUUUCGUCUGAAUCCCUGGAAUGGGGCUAGGGCCGGCAAGCCUCGGGGAGCAUGCGGGGAGAGGUGAUGGCCUGUGACUCAGCUCCAUUUUCUCCCCGAUAUUGUUUUCCCUUACUGGCUUUCGGUGGUGCCCGGAAGUCAGUUCUGUCCCCAGGCGGGGAGACAGAUAGUCUUAACCAAUGCCUAAACAACCACUCACGUUUAUGUAUUUCAAUAAAGUUGUGGCCAAAAUUAUGCCAAAAACCUUAAACAAAAAUUAUGUGUGUGUUGUGAGUUAUUUGGGGGGUGGCUUGGGGACCUCGACAUGCAAAGCUCUGUAGCUAUGAGCAAUUAAGCAGGCUGGAAUGGAGGGAUGGAGUGGCAAAAUUAGCAAACAGAGUGGACAUUGCAGUCUCAGCUAUAUCCACUCACUGAGUUCCCUAGGAUUGUCAUCAAGGUUGAUGCUUACAGAAUUGCAGCGAAGGGGGAGAAAUCUCAUUUCGUGACUAAAUAUAUAAGAGGGAGAAAUCUGCACCUCACGACUGAACACAUUUAGCACCAUCCAGAGCUAGUUAAGCAUCUUCAUUAUUUCAGUGGGUCUGGUUAUGCUUUGAACUGUGUGCUUAAGGAUUGCUGAUAAAGAACCAUAGAUGAUUUCUUACUUUUUACAAUCUUUUGCAGCCUGGAACUGGACAGUAUGUGGCUUGAGUGUACGCCUGUCGCUUUGCCACACUCCCUUGUGGUCCUCAGACAGAGGUCCUCAGUUGGAGUUGCUGCUUGAAGACAUCAGGAAAAACCUGAUUAGGCUGCCUAAAUAUUUCUGGUACCAUAGACACCACAUUAUUUCUUUUUCUAAUACUGCAUUUUAACAAGAUUGUAUUGUGUAGUUCUUUUGUAAAGUGGGCUAUAAAGUUGUCCAGAUAAAUAGAUGCACAAAUAAUUAUGCCUACUCUUAUUUAUUCCUCCCUAUACUUCUAUUUUCUACUUACAUUAUCAACAGCAUUUAAUGUACUGUACACAUGUAUUUGGGGAUGCGGGUGGUGCUGUGGGUUAAACCACAGAGCCUAGCACUUGCCGAUCAGAAGGUCGGCGGUUUGAAUCCCCGCGACGGGGUGAGCUCCCGUUGAUCGGUCCCAGCUCCUGCCAACCUAGCAGUUCAAAAGCACAUCAAAGUGCAAGUAGAUAAAUAGGUACCUUCCCGGCGGGAAGGUAAACGGCGUUUCCAUGCACUGCUCUGGUUCACCAGAAGCGGCUUAGUCAUGCUGGCCACAUGACCUGGAAGCUGUACGCCGGCUCCCUUGGCCAGUAAAGCGAGAUGAGCGCCACAACCCCAGAGUCGGCCACGACCGGACCUAAUGGUCAGGGGUCCCUUUACCUUUACACAUGUAUUUAUAAAACCAUUUACAAAUAAUGGGGGGGGGGGGAGAAAGAGAACUGGGUACAACCCAGCCAGACUUCAGCACAUUCCAGUCCCAUGACAUCAGUGGAAGAGUUAAGCACAUGCAUAAAUCUGUUCUACUGAAGUUAAUUGAUUGAAAAGUACUGGACCUUGUCUGGGUUAUGUCCAUUAUAAAUGUAUUAACACGAUAAUCGGGGGUCCAUAGAUUUGAGCAGGUAUUCAUAUAGACAAGCAAAAUUUGUGGUUGGUCACCAGGUCCCUACCAACAAGGUAUUUUCUCUAAAGUCAUGCUGAGUUCUGGAGGCACUCUGAACACCCCAAAAGUGCAGUGCAACAUCAAGGACAAUCAUUCAACCACCACGCUAACUGCAAACACUGGAGGAAAGCUAGGACACAUGCUGAACUUCUGAAGUGCCAAAAGUGUGUGGCGAUGUCUUCCUCCACUCAUUUUGCAUAAUCUUCUGGUUUAAACAUGCAUAGUGAAGAGUCAACGAAGCUGAUGAAUAUCAGAUUGGAUUGUGUUUGCAGCAAUACCAAACUCCUUACUGGAGAGACUGUCGUGUUCAUAGCAGUGAACGCCUUCUCGCAGUCUGCUGUUUAUGUGAUCCAAGUAUUAAAAGCUGCUUCAACUGGCUGAAAAUUCUUUGGUAUUUUGUCACAGUUCAUUCUCAGCCUAUAUCCUUAAAAAAGAAUCUAUAAUGAAAUGCCCACU